GCGGAUAUGGUCAAAUGGUAAAAU
This 24-nucleotide transfer RNA is filed under the name Spiranthes ovalis var. ovalis. Its description in RNAcentral is "partial tRNA-Gly". RNAcentral also lists the same sequence under 1 other name. Lineage: Eukaryota; Viridiplantae; Streptophyta; Magnoliopsida; Asparagales; Orchidaceae. The record is from RNAcentral.